AGAGUUUGAUCCUGGCUCAGAUUGAACGCUGGCGGCAGGCCUAACACAUGCAAGUCGAGCGGAAACGAGUUAUCUGAACCUUCGGGGAACGAUAACGGCGUCGAGCGGCGGACGGGUGAGUAAUGCCUGGGAAAUUGCCCUGAUGUGGGGGAUAACCAUUGGAAACGAUGGCUAAUACCGCAUAAUAGCUUCGGCUCAAAGAGGGGGACCUUCGGGCCUCUCGCGUCAGGAUAUGCCCAGGUGGGAUUAGCUAGUUGGUGAGGUAAUGGCUCACCAAGGCGACGAUCCCUAGCUGGUCUGAGAGGAUGAUCAGCCACACUGGAACUGAGACACGGUCCAGACUCCUACGGGAGGCAGCAGUGGGGAAUAUUGCACAAUGGGCGCAAGCCUGAUGCAGCCAUGCCGCGUGUAUGAAGAAGGCCUUCGGGUUGUAAAGUACUUUCAGCAGUGAGGAAGGUGGUAGUGUUAAUAGCACUAUCAUUUGACGUUAGCUGCAGAAGAAGCACCGGCUAACUCCGUGCCAGCAGCCGCGGUAAUACGGAGGGUGCGAGCGUUAAUCGGAAUUACUGGGCGUAAAGCGCAUGCAGGUGGUUUGUUAAGUCAGAUGUGAAAGCCCGGGGCUCAACCUCGGAAUAGCAUUUGAAACUGGCAGACUAGAGUACUGUAGAGGGGGGUAGAAUUUCACGUGUAGCGGUGAAAUGCGUAGAGAUCUGAAGGAAUACCGGUGGCGAA
This 732-nucleotide ribosomal RNA is filed under the name uncultured Vibrio sp. Its description in RNAcentral is "bacterial SSU rRNA". It matches the Rfam family "Bacterial small subunit ribosomal RNA", at positions 8 to 719 of the family's 1533-position model. The record is from RNAcentral. Lineage: Bacteria; Pseudomonadati; Pseudomonadota; Gammaproteobacteria; Vibrionales; Vibrionaceae.